Molecule: ribosomal RNA, 463 nt
Filed under: uncultured bacterium
Lineage: Bacteria
Description: bacterial SSU rRNA
Rfam family: Bacterial small subunit ribosomal RNA
Source: RNAcentral
UGGCGGCGUGCCUAACACAUGCAAGUCGAGCGGGUCCGUCCGGUAGCAAUACCGGGGAAGACCUAGCGGCGAACGGGUGAGUAACACGUGAGAAACCUGCCCGAAGUCUGGGAUAACCCGAGGAAACUCGAGCUAAUACCGGAUGUCUUCUUCUGAUCGCAUGGUCGGAUGAAGAAAGAUUUAUCGCUUCGGGAGGGUCUCGCGGCCUAUCAGCUAGUUGGCGGGGGUUAAACGGGCCCACCAAGGCGUCGACGGGUAGCUGGUCUGAGAGGACGAUCAGCCACACUGGGACUGAGACACGGCCCAGACUCCUACGGGAGGCAGCAGUGGGGAAUAUUGCGCAAUGGGCGAAAGCCUGACGCAGCAACGCCGCGUGCGGGAUGAAGGCCUUCGGGUUGUAAACCGCUUUCAGUGGGGACGAAUUCAGACGGUACCCACAGAAGAAGCCCCGGCCAACUACGUG